CUUGGCCAAAAAAUGUUCCUAUUGUUUUUUUCUAAAGAGUUGGCAGAAAGCAGUUUUUUUAUUUUAACUCGAUCUUCAGUGUUUGGCAAGGAAAUUCAAUCUAGACCUCUUUAGAGAUAAUAUUCUGGAAAUGAGAAAAUACAAACAAUAGAGACUUACAUGUCUGUACUGAAGCCCAUUCCCAUUUGACCUUGGCUAUUUUUCUUGUAGCAAUGUAUCAUUUUGUUAUCUGCUCUUAUAUCUGUUAUUUAAAAAUUCCUCUGUUUUCAGGGUUAAUAAAGCUGAAAUCCAGAACUUCAUCCUUCAUGUUAAUGCCUCAAAUUUGACUGAGGUGUUUCUUCCAUUAUUGGGAAGAAAGCAGUUGAAGUAGCCCUGCAGACUGGUUAUUUAUCCAGGAGGAUAACAUCUUUUAUGACCAACAGGUAUUUUUAGAAGACAGAAUGUUCCUUCAAUAAAGCUUGCAGAAUCUGUUCCAGUAGAGCUAUGCCUGUUUGAUGGAAAAAAAUGUUCCAGAGGAAUGUUCGUUCUGUCAUAGAUAUCAACAGAAAAUCAGCAGGGAGCUCCUCAAAUGCCUUUUCCACAGACUACCUCGGGCCUCAUCUCCUCGGCGUUUGAGGCGUGGUUAUUGAGAGUGGUUUAUUGUCCAUCCAGCUGGCUCCCUGGUGGAUCACAAGAAGAUGAGAACUUUGCGGGACAGCGGCUCACCUUGAAUAAUCUUUACUGAGAGAUUGCAACAACUCUAUGAGGGUUCUCAUGAGCUUCUGUGCAGAGAAUCUGUGCACCAAAGAGAGAGUGGAUAAUCAACAGCAAAGUUAUGUUGAACAACUUCCUAUGCACUCCUAUGCAUUGAGAACGUCUGAGCAUGGGACGCAAUUGGUUUCUAUUUUCUUAUCUUUCCUGAGCAGAGGCAAGAUAAUAAGGUUGGUAUUGUUUUGUAUGUAAAACACAGAAAACCUGGAAUGUGCUAGGAAUGAAGAACAUAGUGUGAGUACUGUCAUGGGCAAUGCAGUGGCACAUGCCAUUGCACACCAGUGAGGCACCAAGCUGGGAAAUUGCAUUCUCCUGUGACCUGCUCUGAAUGCUUUCACCCAGGGGUGAUACCAGUGCUGUACUUGUGUGCCCAGAUACCAAAUAAACUCCAUCUGCUGGGAUUGAAGAUGUUCA
This 1164-nucleotide long non-coding RNA is filed under the name Cyanistes caeruleus (blue tit). Its description in RNAcentral is "lncRNA (ENSCCEG00000023528.1)". Lineage: Eukaryota; Metazoa; Chordata; Aves; Passeriformes; Paridae. The record is from RNAcentral.